AUCAGUAGAUUAUACUUUAUGUUAUCUAGUCAAUGCAAUUUCUGCUGACCUGGAUUUCAGGUAAAGAGUCAAAGUCAUGCAUACCAAAAUAGAUAAUGUGUACAAAAACACCUCCUAUACCUCCCAUAGAACUCCCAACAGCUUGUCUGUCUUGAUUGCAGACCUCCAGGCAUGGCCUUCAUACUCUUCACAUUUGAAUUGCAUAUCUCAAUUUCUUUUGCAUUAGAGCAUUAAUGAUGGGUAAUAUGUUCUUCACAGCUUUUUCAGCCUUUUGGUUCAUGCACUGAGAAGCACUUCUGAUAUCAAUCCCAUAAAUGAUACCAGGGUCAUUUGACUGCCGCCAUCACUUAGAAGUGCUCUAUGUAUUUGUAACUUGUGGUCUAAAAGGACAAGGAGCUCUGAAUCACACUGGGACCCUCUUUACUGGUAUUGCUAACACAGUUGGAUUCCUGUACUGUAAAGGUGGUAAAGAUGAAGGAGCUACAAAUGACUAGGCUUAAGGAACAGGAAGGUAAAAAGCUAUGCAAUUCCGUGAUUCAAAUGAUUUUGGAGAGUCUUAGCUGAUAAAAAUCAUCACAAAACCAUCAGAAGCAAAACAACUCGAUGACUUAGAGCAGCUGUGUGGUCAUACUUUUUUAAGGGUUCAGCUGGCACAAGCAGCUUCAGUUGUUACAGACCUCUUUCCACUCCUUAUGCAAGAAGGUGGCGAGUUUUAUUUGUGCUGCUUCCACCUCAGCAGUUUUGCAGUGUCAGAUAUGUGGUAUCAAAUCUCCAGAGGAAACACAAAGGGGAGUGCAGCUGGUUCAUUCCUGACACCCUAUGGUGCUCAGAACUAGAGGAUGAUUGUGAUGGCAGCAGAACAAAGCCAAGGUCCUAAAAUACAAACCUGACAACCACAUUGGAAUUCAACCUGUAUUUGAAUACUUCGUUAGAUUUAGUGAAAAAAACAGAGAAUUUAUGUAGAUGUGACUUCAAUGUGUUUGGACCCUGAUUGACUACUGAAGGAAAUCCCUUGCUGGUCUUAGCCUUUUGGAUACAACUGCAGGAAGUAUGUACCUACACCUUUGUAAGUUGCAGUUUAUGUGUUUCAAUUUUGUGUCAACAAAAUGAAACUAUGAAAAGGUAAGGGAGGCCACCAAUAAACCAGGACAAGCAAUCAUUCAGCUCAGAACCUUAUCUCUGAAAGUGGAUGGAUGAGAAUUGCUAGAGCAAAACAAAAGAACAAGGACUUUUUUUACUGCU
Molecule: non-coding RNA, 1242 nt
Organism: Cyanistes caeruleus (blue tit)
Lineage: Eukaryota; Metazoa; Chordata; Aves; Passeriformes; Paridae
Source: RefSeq, a predicted model, not a curated record